This 12007-nucleotide long non-coding RNA is filed under the name Salmo salar (Atlantic salmon). Its description in RNAcentral is "lncRNA (ENSSSAG00000087109.1)". Lineage: Eukaryota; Metazoa; Chordata; Actinopteri; Salmoniformes; Salmonidae. The record is from RNAcentral.
CCAGCUGGAUCACUGUGAUAACGUCAGCUGGAUCACUGUGAUAACGCCAGCUGGAUCACUGUGAUAACGCCAGCUGGAUCACUGUGAUAAUACCAGCUGGAUCACUGUGAUAACAACUUUACUGAAUCUAUUCAUCAAAUGGUUUUGUCGCAUCAUUCUGCUGUAGCAGGGGUUCCUUUAUCACAUAAAAAAAUGCAUAAAUUAGUUAUAAUAAUAAUAAUAAUAAAGGAUAAGGAAAAUAAAGUCUAGAACCAAUUUUCCCAAAUGUUAUACCGCUACUAAAUAUGUUUCAUAAUUUAUAUGAACCCUUUAAUUAUACAUAUUCUCUUUUACAGAAAAUAUAUAGAUCAAUUGAUUGUGACAAAGUCACACAUUGUAUAAGAUUACUUCCCAAGCACUUCAUUUUUUAAAUUGAACCUUUGUUUUAACAGGGAAGACAUGUGCCCUGUAUAUACAACAUGAACAUACAGUUCCUUCUGAAAGUAUUCAGACCCCUUGACUUUUUCCACAUUUUGUUAUGUUACAGGCUUAUUCCAAAAACGGUUACAUUUUUUAAAAUCCUCAUCAAUCUACGAACAAUACUCCAUAAUGACAAAGCGAAAAUAGGUUAUUAGACAUUUUUGCAAAUGUAUUAAAAUCAAAAAACAGAAAUACCUUAUUUGCAUAAGUAUUCAGACCCUUUGCUAUGAGACUAAAUUAAGCUCAGGUGCAUCUUGUUUCCAUUGAUCAUCUUUGAGACAACUUGAUUGGAGUCCAUCUGUGGUAAAUUCAAUUAAUUGGACAUGAUUUGGAAAAGCACACACCUGUCUGUAUGAGGUCCCACAGUUGACAGUGCAUAUCAGAGCAAAAACCAAGCCAUGAGGUUGAAGGAAUUGUCCGUAGAGCUCUGAGACAGGAUUGUGUCAAGGCACAGAUCUGGGGAAGGGUACCAAAAAAUGUCUGCAGCAUUGAAGGUCCCCAAUAACACAGUGGCCUCCAUCAUUAUUAAACGGAAGAAGUUUGGAACCACCAAGACUCUUCCUAGAGCUGGCCAAACUGAGCAAUCGGGGGAGUAGGGCCUUGAUCAGGGGGGUGACCAAGAGCCCGAUGGGAGCUCUGACAGAGCUCCAGAGUUCCUCUGUGGAGAUGGGAGAACCUUCCAGAAGAACAACCAUCUCUGCAGCACUCAACCAAUCAGGGCAUUAUGGUAGAGUGGCCAGACGGAAGCCACUCCUCAGUAAAAGGCACACGACAGCCCACUUGGAGUCUGCUCUGAUGAAUGCCAAGCAUCGCGUCUGGCAGAAACCUGGCACCAUCCCUACGGGGAAGUUUGGUGGUAGCAGCAUCAUGCUGUGGGGAUUUUGGUCAGCAGCAGGGACUGGGAGACUAGUCAGGAUAGAGGAAAAAAUUAACAGAGCAAAGGACAGAGAGAUCCAUGGAGAAAACCUGCUUCAGAGCGCUCAGGACCUCAGACUGGGGCAAAGGUUCCCCUUCCAACAGGACAACAACCCUAAGCACACAGCCAAGACAACACAGGAGUGGCUUCGGGACAAGUCUCUGAAUGUCCUUGAGUGGCCCAGCCAGAGCCCGAACUUGAGCCCGAUCGAACAUCUCUGGAGAGACCUGAAAAUAGCUGUGCAGCGACGCUCCCCAUCCAACCUGACAGAGUUUGAGAGGAUCUGCAGAAAAGAAUGGGAGAAACUCCCCAAAUACAGGUGUGCCAAGCUUGUAGUGUCAUACCCAAGAAGACUCCAGGCUGUAAUCGCUGCCAAAGGUGCUUCAACAAAGUACUAAGUAAAGGGUCUGAAUACUUAUGUAAAUGUGAUAUUGCCUGGGGGGGGGGGGGUUUGCAAACAUUUCUAAAAACCUGUUUUUGCUUUGUCAUAAUGGGGUAUUGUGUGUGGAUUGAUGAGGGAAAAAACUAUUGAAUACAUUUUAUAAUACUUUCCGAAUGCACUGUAAACAUUAUACCCAAACUAUGUACAUAUACAGUAGUUAAUCUGGAACAUUCUUACGAGGGUUUGAAAACAACAUGUAUUUCCUUUUGCCCAUAUUAGGCACAUGUUUUCAAUAAGUAAGUGAUUCCUGCACAGAUAUCAAAUUCGAUUGUAAUUUUGACACAGCCAGAUCAACAGUCGGGGCAAUAGCAUACAUAAUACUAUCAUACAAAUACAGAUGAAGUUUACCAUUUUGAACCGAUUUACCAAUGGUGUUUAUAUAAAUAGUGAAGAGAACAGGUACCAAAAUCAACCCCCGUGGUACACAAUGUACGUCGAGAAAUUCUGACGUAACCCCAUCAAUCACGAUGACUUGAGUUCUGUCACUAAGAUAAUCAUGAAACCGCGAACAGGCGUCAGAGCUCAGGCCUAUCGAGGACAACCUAUUUUAAUAAAAUAGCAUGAACAACAGUAUCAAAAACGUUUUGACAGGUCAACAAACAAAAUAAGCACAUUUCAUUUUAGCAUUGACAAGCCCAUUAACAACUAAAGUGAUUGUUGUAACAGUGCUCUGCCCAGGCCUAAACCCUGAUUGGUUUACAUUCAGAAUACAUUUCUCAGAUAAAAAAAAGAGCAAAGUUGAACACUCAACGAAGGUUCUAGAAUCUUAUCUCGACCAGGAAGCCUUGAAAUGUGGCGAUAAUGAUUAAGAUCUCUACUAUCCUCGUCCUUAUGGAGUGGCAGCACAAGAUCUGAUUUCCAAUACUUUUAGAAUAUUUCCCGAUAACAACGUUAAAUAACAAAUGGGGGUUAUUGAGCCAACAAUGAUCUGUGCCGCACACUUAAGCAGACCGGGAUCCAAUUGGUUGGCCCCUGUGGAUCUAUUGUUGUCUAUUGCUAGCAAAGCAUCCAGGACUUAUUUCUCUGUAAAUAGCCUAAAAGAAAAUCUUUGACUAUAAAUUCUCUGAUCAUUCAGCAAGUUUCCUCUAUCAUCAUCCAGCCCAAUAUCAUUGUGAAUAGGCUUAGAAGUUCUUGCAAAGAGAGAGCCCGCUGAAAUAAAAUGGUGAUUAAAUGCAUCAAAUUAUGGAUUUUUUUAUAAUGAGGCCAGUGUCUGAUUUAAUUUGUUGUUGCAGAGGAGGAAGUUGAACCCUUCAGGGAUCUUCCAGAAUUCAGCCGGGUUCCCAUUACAAUCCGAAAGUGUGGUUGCAUAAUAAUUUGAUUUAGCCUUUCUGAUUUGUCUUGCACAAUGAUUCCUCAGUUGCUUAAAAACUUGCCAGUCCGGGUGUAAGACUGUGUUCCUGGCCUUGACCCAAGCAUCAUCUCUUUUGUGAAUGACUUCUGAUGAUUCCGGAGUGUACCACGCAUUCGACUGACCUCUAACCCUGAUUUUUUUUUUAAGGGAGCAUGAUUAUCUACAACAGUAUUGAAGACAUCUGCAGAAAGGCUCCAAGCUAAAUCAGGUUCAGGGAUUAGAUGAAAUACAAUCAAGGUCACUAAAAUAAAGAUAAUGUAAAAAAAAGCCUCUUCACUGAAGUUCCUCUUUGUGAUGACACGAAGCUUCGCUUUUUAUAUUCUCACAUCUCUAACAGAAACAACUGGGCAGUGGUCACCAGUGUCUUGGGUGAACACACCAGUAGAAACAUAUUUCUCUGGUGUAUUUGUUAAAAUAAGAUCAAUCAAUCAGAGUUGACUUUGAAGGAUCUUUAGGCUUGGGCCGUGAAGGCUUUGUCACCAGCUGGGUUAGGUUUAGAUCAUUGCACAUGUCUUUUAGAUUGUCUGAAGCCUGCAUUUCCCAAUCAUAAUUUAGGUCACCCAGGAUAAUAAAUUCUGAUUUAGUAAAAGAAGACAAUAAACUAGUUUAACUCCUUGAGUGCACAAAGGUUAGCCAAGGGAGGACGGUAGGCCCCUAUAACAGUUAUGGAUACAUUUUCCCCUAGACAAAGGCUAAAAGAUAGGAGAAAAAAAGUAUUUACAAGGGACAAGGGAUUUCGGUAAAGAGACAGGGACAUUUAAAAAAAUAAUGUAAUGGCCACUCCACUACAUCUACCCUGUCUGUCGGCGCUGAACACAUUACAACCCUUAAUACUAAUAUCAGAGUCCAGAAUUUCCCCAGAGAUCCACGUUUCAGUCAAAACUAGAAUGUCCGGAUUCAUCUGCAUAACCCAGAUCUUGAUGUAAUCCAGUUUAGGAAGUAAACUCUAAAUGUUGAAAUGCAUCAACCCAAGUCCUUUAUGAUUUUAUCAAACCGAGGAGGUAUUCAUCAACUUUAUGGAAUUCACACUUGAACUAAAAGUACUGGGUGAGCAGACUACUGUGGAAUCCUCUUUUUAGCUAACAAUAGCAGAUCUAGGAGUGGAUUCAAAACUAAAUGUUCAAGAAAGCGUACAGUAUUACAUAGAGCCAUUAUUGCAUGGAACUCCCUUCCAUCUCAUAUUGCUCAAAUAAACAGCAGACAUGAUUAAAAAAAAAAACUGAAAAAGCAACACCUCACAGCACAAUGCCUCUCCCCUAUUUGACCUAGAUAGGUUGUGUGUAUGUAUUGAUAUGUAGGCUACGUGUGCCGUUUUUAAAUCUAUGUAAUUCUGUCCUUGAGCUGUUCUUGUCUAUUAAUGUUCUGGAUGAUGUCAUGUUUCAUGUGGAGCCCAGGAAGAGUAGCUGCUGGUUUCGCAACAGCUAAUGGGGAUCCUAAUAAACUACCAAAUAAGCCUGGCAGACAACAGUAGGACGAUAACGCUUAGAAAGGAUGGGAGGUAUUACCUGAGCGGGUCUGCCUCCGAGUCUAUAUCUUAACGCAGCCUUGACAUAUGAAGAUAGGGUCCAGGCUCCAAGAUGGAUUGGGUCCAUCAUCUCUGUAAAGCAUCUUUCUUUUCCAAAAAGUGUCGAAAUUGUCUAUUAAAGUUGUGCUAACAGAGUGGCAGUGACAGCCGCAUCUAUUCUCAAAAAUAAUGAUGUAUCAUGAUGAAUGUGUUUAUUUAUUUAACCCGGUAAAUUGACUGAGAACACAUUCUCAUGUACAGCAAUGACCUGGGGAAUAGUUGCAUGGGGGGAGGAGGUGGAUGAAGGAGCCAAAAAUGCAUGCAUUUUGCGUACCAACUACGCAAUUAUCGGUCAAUGUACGCAGGUACGAGAUCCGAGUUAAAAGUACGCAGAAAUGAAUAGGGCCUGAUUUUUUUUUACAUCGUAAUAAAAAAGAAAUCCACUGAGUAAAUCUAGCAUCCCAAUUCUCGAGCUGCAACACACAGACAUGUACUGUGUUUGUGUCAACGGACAUGGAGAUGAAUACAUUAUUAUUCGACAUAGCUACCCCGGGUCUGCUCCUCCGCCUGUUUGUUGUGAUGCUGAGUUUGCCGGCUGUCAGCUGUACGUGAACACAUGGGACAAAUCCCUUUUCGACUCCGUGUGUUGUGGAAAGGUAAACACUAAUUGUUUCAAGCUAACGUUUUGGGUUGCCUAGUUAAAUAAAGGCUAAAUAAAAAAUGUAAAAACGUUAGCAAACAUAAGAUGGACAUUCAGUGGGCUCUAAAAGGCCAGCAGUUCACUCGCAUUUGCUCGUGAAAGAAAUUAAAUGCAAAUCCGAAAAAUAACUGGUUGCAUUUGUGCGAGUGUGAUAUACAUUUAAUUCUGCGUCCCAUUAGUUGUAUUUUCCACCUAACGUGACGAGGAUCCCGCAACCUGAUAGACUGUAACUAUAAUUAUGAUCCACGUCACAAAAAGCAUUGCAACAGUAUAAUCAAAAAUAAAUAGAAACAUCUUGGCAUUAAAUGGAGUCGGGAGUUUAGAAGACUGCGGGAUGACGAAUGAGUGAGUGUCCGGUAUCAGCUAUAGAGGCAAUGCUUCUAACAUGCCUUUGCACUAGAUUUGAGAUUUUAUCAAUUUCUAAAAUCUGAAAUGAUCUAUACGCUGCAAAGAAAUCCAAUAGGCACCUUUACAUAGGCUGAAACACCGGACUCUUCCAGCGGACAGCGUUCAGAUUCCCUUUGCGGUAGCCUAAUGAAGAUUUGUGUAGCCAGUUUGCGGUCUGUGUCGAUGCGAUCAUUUUGUUUUAGUUUUCAAAAUGAUUUUGCUUUUAGUGUUGAUUAGGAACCGUGUCUAAAAAGCCAAUACUUGUGAGCUGGCCCUAGUGAUUGGCCCUGUUUGAGAGAUGACAAGCGUUCCUCUACAAUAAGGACUAAACUUGGGGCCAAGCCAAGCUGGAUCUGAAGACAUUUUAUGCAGACGUCAGAAACGUAUUUAUCUACUGCAGUAGACUACAUGUUGCUGAAAUGUCCAUUUGAGGAUGUUUGCUCCUCCAGCAUGCAGUGGUUGCUGACAUUGGCAACAGGCAGACUGUCGAGUUCUCAUCCCUCAACUUUUUCAUGGCAAGCUUUCCCUGCAUGAUUCCUGAGGGAACCUCCAUGGAUCUGGUGGAAGAUGAGUUUGGACUCUAUCAGGCAACAACCUUUGAGCAGAACCUGGUCAACAUGCGCAAGGAUCAGACCUGGAGAGAAAUCAGCCCAAUGAAAAGGGGGGUAGCCUGGUCUACUCCCACCUUUCGGCUGUGAUGCUGGGGAUAUAUUCCACAGCAAUGCAGACUGGGAACAAAUAUUCAGUCUUGUUUCCAAGAACAAAACCCAGUACAGAGACUCCCUCAGUACAGACCUGCUGAGUGCCCUCGUUACCAAGAAGGUUUCUAUGAUUGCCAGAGGAACAGUUUUCCACAGAGAAGUCUACCCUGAUGCUCUGCUGCAAGGCUAAAUCUGCUAGCUACCAGGCUAAUCUGUCUAGGAAAUGAUUUCCUGAACAUUUGAAGGUCUCCAGAAGAUUAGUUCUCACCCACUGUUUCCUAUCAUAGCUUUUUCCUUUUUAUGAUGGAUAACAUGUUGAUUUGAUACUCAUGCUCCGCUUCAAACCCCAAUUUGGCACGCGCUACGGCCGUGCAGUUGAAUCUCCAAUUUGCCACGCGUGUCUGGUACUCUAAAAAAGUUGGACAGGGUGACAGCCAGAUUGGGAAUUCAGCCAGGACACCAGAGUUAACAGAUCACCGUAGACUUGGAAGGUGGUGCCACCAAUCUGGAUAAAAUCUGUUUCCCCGUAUGAAGGAAAGUGGUUGGUAAAAUAGGUUGGCGAGGAAUCAGCUAAAAGUCAAUCCACACAGUGUGAUAGUUAGUUAGAUUGAAUCACACAGUUAGUAGGAUCACCACAGUUCCAGGCAGCAAGCCAGAACCCAACCACAGACUAAAAACCAGCCAGCAAUAGGACCCACAAUAAACAAGGAACAAAACAGGCCAGCAUUACAACAGCAAGGAGAGAGCAGUGACUUAGCAAAUUCUGGGGCCCAUCAAAACAGCAACACAAUGGAGGCCAUGUUAACAGUAUGAUAGCCAGGAGAGAAGCACCUUGGAGGGGAUGUAGUUUCUAGUAGAGGCCGCUGGAAGCCGGGAGGGGGGCAAGCGCUACAGAGUAAAUCCAAGUUGUCUAAACAAAGUUUGGCGGUAGUCAAACAACAUCCAAGGCGCAAUGUCAAGCAGCAGUAGGCAGGUGUCUACUCAGAUAAUGCCCCAGUGCAGGUCCCAGUUCAGGCCCCAGUGCAGGUCCCAGUUCAGGCCCCAGUGCAGGUCCCAGUUCAGGCCCCAGUGCAGGCCCCAGUGCAGGUCCCAGUGCAGGCCCCAGUGCAGGCCCCAGUGCAGGUCCCAGUGCAGGCCCCAGUGCAGGCCCCAGUGCAGGCCCCAGUGCAGGCCCCAGUGCAGGUCCCAGUUCAGGUCCCAGUGCAGGUUCCAGUGCAGGUCCCAGUGCAGAGUAGGGUGUCCAAGUAUAUCCAAGUAGGCCUCAAAAGUUUCAGCAGACCUGUUUUGUAUGUCUCCUUAAAAACUCUGCAUGCAAUAUUGAGCUAUUGUCCAAUGUGUUCAUAGUCAGAUUAAACAACGCUAAAUAGAGACAAACACAGCUACAAACAUUGAUCAGAGAAAAAAGACCUGCUUACUGGCAUCUUGGUCAUAGCUCAGUUUGUAAAUGCCAUAGAGAUGAACCAAAGAUGUUCCCAUGUGUAUCCGAGUUCCGUCUUCCUUGGGCAUUUUAACACUUGUUUCUAGCCUAAAGCGUUGUGGACUUACGUGUCAAUGUAAAAAUAUAUAUACAGGGCACUCGGAAAGUAUUCAGACCCUUCCCCUUUUCCACAUUUUGUCACAGCCUUAUUGUGAAAUGUAUUUACCAUAUUUUUUCCCUCACAAUACCCAAUAGUGGCAACGUGAAAACAGGUUUUUAGAAAUGUUGGCAAAUGUAUACAUUUUUUAAACAGAAAUACCUUAUUUACAUAAGUAUUCAGACUCUUUGCUAUGAGACUCAAAAUUGAGCUCAGGUGCUUCCUGUUUCCAUUGAUCAUCCUUGAGAUGUUUCUACAACUUGGUUGGAGUCCACCUGUGGUAAAUUCAAUUGAUUGGACAUGAUUUGGAAAGGCACGCACUUGUCUAUAUAAGGUCACACAUUUGACAGUGCAUGUCACAGCAAAAACAAAACCAAGCCAUGAGGUAAAAGGAAUUGUCCGUAGAGCUCCGAGACAGGAUUGUGUCGGCACAGAUCUGGGGAAGGGUACCAAAAAAUGUCUGCAGCAUUGAAGGUCCCCAAGAACACAUGAUCCUCCAUCAUUCUUAAAGGGAAGAAGUUUGGAACCACCAAGGCUCUUCCUAGAGCUGGCUGCCUGGCCAAACUGAGCAAUCGGGGGAGAAGGGCCUUGGUCAGGGAGUUGAUCAAGAACCCGAUGGUCACUCUGACAGAACUCCAGAGUUCCUCUGUGGAGAUGGGAGAACCUUCCAGAAGGACAACCAUCUCUGCAGCACUCCACCAAUCUGGCCUUUUAUGGUAGAGGGGCCAGACUGAAGCCACUCCUCAGUAAAAGGCUCAUGACAGCCCUCUUGGAGUUUGCCAAAAGGCACCUAAAGGACUCUCAGAACAUUCCCUGGUCUGAUGAAACCAAGAUUGAACUCUUUGGCCUGAAUGCCAAGCAUCACGUCUGGAGAUAACCUGGCACCAUCCCUACGGUGAAGCAUGGUGGUGGCAGCAUCAUGCUGUGGAGAUGUUUUUCUGCAGCAGGGACUGGGAGACUAGUCAGGAUCGAGGGAAAGAUGAACGGAGCAAAGUACAGAGAGAUCCUUGAUGAAAACCUGCUCCAGAGCACUCAGGACCUCAGACUGGAGCGAAGGUUCACCUUCCAACAAGACAAUGACCCUAAGCACACAGCCAAGACAAGCUUGUAGCGUCAUACCCAAGAAGACCCGAGGUUGUAAUCGCUGCCAAAGUUGCUUCAACAAAGUACCUUUGUAAAGGGUCUGAAUACUUAUGUGAAUGUCAUAUUUCAGUUUUUUAUUUGUAAUGCAUUUGCAAACAUUUCUAAAAACCUGUUUUACUUUGUCAUUAUGGGUAUAGAUUGAUGAGGGAAAAAAAAUAUUUAAUCCAUUUUAGAAUAAGGCUGUAACGUAACAAAAUGUGGAAAAAGUCAAGGGGUUUGAAUACUUUCAGAAUGCAUUGUAUACUAUAACAAUAUUUCUGUAUUCUCCCCCUAGCUGGCUAUCAAAACACAUUAUGCAGUCACUCCGUCAAAACACAGCCUUCAAAUUUAUGCUGACUGUACAUGAUUGUUUUCUGAAAACAGAGUACAUUCAUCAUCCAAUCACUCAGUCUGUCUGAUGGCUGUACUUACAUCUCUGACUCUUUUCUAAAUAUCUAACUAAAUCUGUGACUAUUUUCCAGUAUCCUUCGCUCACAAACGGAGUUGUUUGUGUGUGUGCGUGUUUGUUUGUGCGUGGCAUGCAUACUUAUUCUGACAUUAAGUGUGGGACCAUGGCAAGUCUCACUGCAGGACUCCUCUCAGAAAUCUAUUUCUCAAAAUCGUUUUUUUUCAUUCUGUGUCCAUCCAAUCAAUAUACUACCUACUGCCCUCUCUCUCUCCUCCUCCUCCCCUCUCUCCUCCCCUCUCUCUCCUCCUCCUCCCCUCUCCUCCUCCUCCUCCUCCCCUCUCUUUCUCUCCUCCUCCUCCCCUCUCUUUCUCUCCUCCUCCUCCCCUCUCUUUCUCUCCUCCUCCUCCCCUCUCUCUCUCUCUCUCUCUCCUCCUCCUCCCCUCUCUUUCUCCUCCUCCCCUCUCUCUCCUCCUCCUCCUCCUCCUCCUCCUCCUCUCUCCUCCUCCUCCCCCUCUCUUUCUCUCCUCCUCCUCCCCUCUCUUUCUCUCCUCCUCCCCCUCUCUCCUCCUCCUCAUCCCCUCUCUUUCUCUCCUCCUCCUCCCCUCUCCACCUCCUCCUCCUCCUCCCCUCUCUUUCUCUCCUCCUCCUCCCCUCUUUCUCUCCUCCUCCUCCCCUCUCUUUCUCUCCUCCUCCUCCUCUCUCUCUCCUCCUCCUCCCCUCUCUUUCUCUCCUCCUCCUCCCCUCUCUUUCUCUCCUCCUCCUCCCCUCUCUUUCUCUCCUUCUCCUCCCCUCUCUCCUCCUCCUCCUCCCCUCUCUCUCCUCCUCCUCCUCCCCUCUCUCCUCCUCUCCUCCCCUCUCUCCUCCUCCUCCUCCCCUCUCUCUCCUCCUCCUCCCCUCUCUCUCCUCCUCCUCCUCCCCUCUCUCUCCUGCUCACUCUGUGAAUGAUUCCCACAUCCUACUCUUCAGGGGCACUACUUUCCAAUCAAUGCUCUUUACAUCUCUCUCUUUCUCUCAAUACCCCACAUCUACCGCUCCUCUUUCUCUCUAUACCCCACAUCUACCCCUCCUCUCUUUAACACUAUACCCAACCUAUACCUCUCAUCUCUUUCCCUCUAUACGCCACCUCACCCUCUCUCUUUCUCCCCCGGCACUCCAUCUUUCUCUAUAUAUUUAUCUCUCCCUAUCAACCCUUUCCCUCUCUGUCUUUCUGUCAAAUAGCAUUUUAUGUGUCACAUGCUUUGUAAACAACGGGUGUAAACAGUGAAAUGCUUACUUACAGACUGUGGUCCAACCUCUUACAUCUAGGGGUUCCACUAGCGGAACCCCUAGCCAACAGCCAAUGGGAUCGCAUGGCGGGAAAUACAAAAACAACUAAAAUACCACAAUUCCAUUUUCUCAAACAUACGACUAUUUUACACCAUUUGAAAGAUAAACCUCUCCUGAAUCCAACCACAUUGUCUGAUUUCAAAAAGGCUUUACAGCGAAAGCAAAACAUUAGAUUAUGUUAGGAUACCACCACAGCAAAAAAACAACAACACAGCCAUUUUCCUAGCAAGGACAGCCAUUUUCCAAGCAAGGGUCCCAAAGCACAAAACCAGCUACAAUUAUGCACUAACCUUUGACGAUCUUCAUCAGAUGACACUCCUAGGACAUUAUGUUAGACAAUACAUGCAUUUUUUGUUCCAUCAAGUUCAUAUUUAUAUCCCCAAAAAAAACAUUUUACAUUGGCGCGUGACGUUCAGAAAAUGUAUUCCCACCAAAAACUUCCUGUGAAUUUACAAAAAUACUCAUCAUAAACGUUGACAAAAUACAUAACAAUUAUUUUAAGAAUUAUAGAUACAGUACUCUUUUAUGCACCCGCUGUGUCAGAUUUCAAAAUAACUUUAUGUAGAAAGCACAUUGUUCAAUAUUCUGAGUACUGAGCACCAUGCUAUUCAGUUAGCCGUCCAGCCACGGCAUCCACAAAACGCUGAAAUAUGUUAAAAAUAUUAUCUUACCUUUGCUGAUCUUCGGCUGAAUGCACUCAGAAGGUCUCCCACUUCCACAAGAAAUGUUCAUUUGUUCGAUAAAGUCCAUCAUUUAUGUCGAAAUAAAUCAGUUUUGAUGGCGCGUCCAGAUCACCAUUCCAAAAUGCAUCUAUCCACCGUCGACGAAAAGUUAUAAAGUUCCCUCAGCGUUUGUAGAAACAUGUCAAACCAUGUUCAAUCAAUCUUUAGGGUGUUAUUAUAGUAGAAUUUCAAUAAUAUUCCAACUGGACAAUAGCAGAUUCAUUACAAAAGAAAAAUGGCUAAUCCUUCGUGAGCGUGCGCGAGGUGAGGCAAUGACACCAGGUCGACCACAUACUGUUCCGGGUAUUAUUAUAUCAAAUUGUAUUCUAGAAGCCUCAAACGAGGUUCUAAUGACUGUUGACAUCUAGUGGAAGCCUUAGGAAUGCAAUAUGAC